GCGAAAUAGCGAAUUGUCAGAAAUGUUAGUGCAAUUCUUUUACGAAUUUGCUUCAGAAAACGCAAGAAAUGCAGUCAUCGAGCUUCAAGAAUAGCACAAUCGCCUGGCGGAGAACCCCUCACACCCCUAUCAUCCAAUAAAUACAAAACAUGAUUAGGCGAAGUUCAACUCCCGAUGUUUUGCAAACAUCUCUUAGUAUAUAUCAAUUCAAAAGUGCCCUUUCACGAAAAUCUGCCCCCCUUGCCUUCACAUCGUUCCGGCGUCCCUGGUUUUAAUUGUCUGCAUUGGAUAAUGAAAAUUUGAUGCCACCCAAAAAUGGCGGAUAUUCAUCAUCAUGAGAAAGGCUAAUUG
Non-coding RNA from Paramuricea clavata, 351 nucleotides. NCBI's taxonomy places the organism in Eukaryota, Metazoa, Cnidaria, Anthozoa, Malacalcyonacea, Plexauridae. The record is from the annotation of a GenBank genome assembly.